ACACUCCUAAACCCGUGACGAGAUUUCGUCAGACACCAGACAAUCAGGACUGAUCAAACUCCCAAGAUAAGUGAGGUU
This 78-nucleotide microRNA precursor is filed under the name Schistosoma margrebowiei. Its description in RNAcentral is "mir-3492 microRNA precursor family". It matches the Rfam family "mir-3492 microRNA precursor family". The record is from Rfam by way of RNAcentral. Lineage: Eukaryota; Metazoa; Platyhelminthes; Trematoda; Strigeidida; Schistosomatidae.